GAGUUUGAUCUUGGCUCAGGAUGAACGCUAGCGGCAGGCUUAAUACAUGCAAGUCGAACGGUAACAUGAGUAGCAAUACUUGAUGACGAGUGGCGCACGGGUGCGUGACACGUAUGCAACCUUCCUUCAACUGGAGAAUAGCCCGAAGAAAUUCGGAUUAACUCUCCAUAGUAAAACAGAACGGCAUCGUUUUGUUUUAAACCUCCGGGGGUUGAAGAUGGGCAUGCGUUGCAUUAGCUAGUUGGCGGGGUAAAAGCCCACCAAGGCUACGAUGCAUAGGGGAUCUGAGAGGACUAACCCCCACACUGGUACUGAGACACGGACCAGACUCCUACGGGAGGCAGCAGUAAGGAAUAUUGGACAAUGGGGGGCAACCCUGAUCCAGCCAUGCCGCGUGAAGGAUGAAGGCGCUAUGACGUUGUAAACUUCUUUUGAACGGGAGAAAACCCACCUACGUGUAGGUGGCUGAUAGUACCGUUAGAAUAAGGAUCGGCUAACUCCGUGCCAGCCGCCGCCGUAAG
This 521-nucleotide ribosomal RNA is filed under the name uncultured bacterium. RNAcentral's name for it is "bacterial SSU rRNA". It matches the Rfam family "Bacterial small subunit ribosomal RNA", at positions 9 to 524 of the family's 1533-position model. The record is from RNAcentral.